UACUAUAUAGGAAGGAAUACCACACCCUCCCCACCUUAUAUAGUAAGCCCACUUUGACAAAAACAGAGCACAUUCUCUCUCUCCUCCUUUUCUUAUUACUCUCUCUCUAACUCUUUCUUAUUACUCUCUCUCUCUCUCUCUGGUUCACCAGGAAGAAAUUGUGUCUUAUCAGUGCUGCAUGUGCUUACGAUGGUGGCGGUGAAAGAAGAAAAAAGCUUAGAAGAAGGGCUUUUAAAGCUCAAGAACCAAAACGACGCUUCAGGAUGUCG
Molecule: long non-coding RNA, 269 nt
Filed under: Brassica napus (rape)
Lineage: Eukaryota; Viridiplantae; Streptophyta; Magnoliopsida; Brassicales; Brassicaceae
Description: long non-coding RNA (BNAP_LNC001598)
Source: RNAcentral